RNAcentral lists this ribosomal RNA (468 nucleotides) under uncultured bacterium. RNAcentral describes it as "partial 16S ribosomal RNA". It matches the Rfam family "Bacterial small subunit ribosomal RNA", at positions 28 to 507 of the family's 1533-position model. The record is from RNAcentral.
GACGAACGCUGGCGGCGUGCUUAACACAUGCAAGUCGAACGGAAAGGCCCUGCUUUUGUGGGGUGCUCGAGUGGCGAACGGGUGAGUAACCCGUGAGUAACCUGCCCUUGACUUUGGGAUAACUUCAGGCAACUGGGGAUAAUACCGGCUAGGAGCUCCUGCUGCAUGGUGGGGGUUGGAAAGUUUCGGAGGUUGGGGAUGGACUCGCGGCUUAUCAGCUUGUUGGUGGGGUAGUGGCUUACCAAGGCUUUGACGGGUAGCCGGCCUGAGAGGGUGACCGGCCACAUUGGGACUGAGAUACGGCCCAGACUCCUACGGGAGGCAGCAGUGGGGAAUAUUGCACAAUGGGCGGAAGCCUGAUGCAGCAACGCCGCGUGCGGGAUGACGGCCUUCGUGUUGUAAACCGCUUUCGCCUGUGACGAAGCGGGAGUGACGGUAAUGGGUAAAGAAGCACCGGCUAACUACGUG